CAAGAGGGCCGGAUGAUCGCCCCGCGACUAUCUCUGCCAAAGGAAGCAAUGUUCGACGAUGCGGUCCGGUUGCCCACCGGCUCCAAAUUGCCGGACAAGGCACCCUUUGGAAGAGAUAGUCGCGGGGAGGAAAGUCCGAACUCCGAAGGGCAGGGUGGUUCCUAACGGGAACCCGGGGUGACCCGAGGGAAAGUGCAACAGAAAACAUACCGCCCCGCGCCUAUCUCUUCCAAAGAGCCUUGCGUGAUGAUGAGGAGCCGGUGGUGAACGGCUCGCUCUUAUGAACGGCGCGUUCUUUGGCGGAGGUAGGCGCGGGGUAAGGGUGAAAAGGUGAGGUAAGAGCUCACCGGCGGCCCGGCGACGGGCCGGCCUGGCAAACCCCACCCGGAGCAAGACCAAAUAGGCUCUGCCUUUCCUCGAAAGAGGACAAGGGUUGCCCAUCCGACGUUUCUCCGGUUCGCCGGGGAAAGGGCAGAGCGGGUCGGUCGCACGACUCCGCAGGCGACGGCGGGGCAAGAGGAAUGAUCAUCUCCGGCCGGAGACGGCCGGAACAGAAUUCGGCUUACAGGACCUCUUGGCGG
This 581-nucleotide RNase P RNA is filed under the name Nitrospirae bacterium RBG_16_64_22. RNAcentral describes it as "RNase P RNA component class A". It matches the Rfam family "Bacterial RNase P class A". Rfam says of the family: Ribonuclease P (RNase P) is a ubiquitous endoribonuclease, found in archaea, bacteria and eukarya as well as chloroplasts and mitochondria. Lineage: Bacteria; Pseudomonadati; Nitrospirota. The record is from RNAcentral.